This 465-nucleotide ribosomal RNA is filed under the name Vreelandella stevensii. RNAcentral describes it as "partial 16S ribosomal RNA". It matches the Rfam family "Bacterial small subunit ribosomal RNA", at positions 338 to 795 of the family's 1533-position model. The record is from RNAcentral. Lineage: Bacteria; Pseudomonadati; Pseudomonadota; Gammaproteobacteria; Oceanospirillales; Halomonadaceae.
CCUACGGCGGGCUGCAGUGGGGAAUAUUGGACAAUGGGCGAAAGCCUGAUCCAGCCAUGCCGCGUGUGUGAAGAAGGCCUUCGGGUUGUAAAGCACUUUCAGUGGGGAAGAAAGCCUUGGGGCUAAUACCCUCGAGGAAGGACAUCACCCACAGAAGAAGCACCGGCUAACUCCGUGCCAGCAGCCGCGGUAAUACGGAGGGUGCGAGCGUUAAUCGGAAUUACUGGGCGUAAAGCGCGCGUAGGCGGUCUGAUAAGCCGGUUGUGAAAGCCCCGGGCUCAACCUGGGAACGGCAUCCGGAACUGUCAGGCUAGAGUGCAGGAGAGGAAGGUAGAAUUCCCGGUGUAGCGGUGAAAUACGUAGAGAUCGGGAGGAAUACCAGUGGCGAAGGCGGCCUUCUGGACUGACACUGACGCUGAGGUGCGAAAGCGUGGGUAGCAAACAGGAUUAGAUACCCCGGUAGUC